UACGGGGGAGCAAGCGUUGUUCGGAUUUACUGGGCGUAAAGGGCGCGUAGGCGGCCUCUGCAAGUCGACUGUGAAAUCUCCGGGCUUAACCCGGAACGGUCAGCCGAUACUGCAGGGCUAGAGUGCAGAAGGGGCAACUGGAAUUCUCGGUGUAGCGGUGAAAUGCGUAGAUAUCGAGAGGAACACCUGCGGCGAAGGCGGGUUGCUGGGCUGACACUGACGCUGAUGCGCGAAAGCUAGGGGAGCGAACGGG
Molecule: ribosomal RNA, 253 nt
Filed under: uncultured bacterium
Lineage: Bacteria
Description: partial 16S ribosomal RNA
Rfam family: Bacterial small subunit ribosomal RNA
Source: RNAcentral